UUUUAUAGGUGGCUGGCCAGACCACCUUUGGCAGCCGAACGUGAAUCCGAAACCAUGCAAUGUUCGGCGGCCGAAAGUGACCUUCGGCGGCCGAACCUUUGCAUUUCUCCCUUGUUGCUUUUCUUUCAAAACUCAUUUCCUUUAACACUUUAAAACAUUCAAAACCCUUAAAAACACACAUGAAAACAUAUGUCUUACC
RNAcentral lists this long non-coding RNA (199 nucleotides) under Manihot esculenta (cassava). RNAcentral's name for it is "long non-coding RNA (MESC_LNC006131)". Lineage: Eukaryota; Viridiplantae; Streptophyta; Magnoliopsida; Malpighiales; Euphorbiaceae. The record is from RNAcentral.